UACAAGCAGUGGGAGCACAGGUUUACCUGUGUGACUGCGUACCUUUUGUAUAAUGGGUCAGCGACUUAUAUUCUGUAGCAAGGUUAACCGAAUAGGGGAGCCGGAGGGAAACCGAGUCUUAAUUGGGCGUUAAGUUGCAGGGUAUAGACCCGAAACCCGGUGAUCUAGCCAUGGGCAGGUUGAAGGUUGGGUAACACUAACUGGAGGACCGAACCGACUAAUGUUGAAAAAUUAGCGGAUGACCUGUGGCUGGGGGUGAAAGGCCAAUCAAACCGGGAGAUAGCUGGUUCUCCCCGAAAGCUAUUUAGGUAGCGCCUCGUGAAUUCAUCUCCGGGGGUAGAGCACUGUUUCGGCUAGGGGGCCAUCCCGGCUUACCAACCCGAUGCAAACUGCGAAUACCGGAGAAUGUUAUCACGGGAGACACACGGCGGGUGCUAACGUCCGUCGUGAAGAGGGAAACAACCCAGACCGCCAGCUAAGGUCCCAAAGUCAUGGUUAAGUGGGAAACGAUGUGGGAAGGCCCAGACAGCCAGGAUGUUGGCUUAGAAGCAGCCAUCAUUUAAAGAAAGCGUAAUAGCUCACUGGUCGAGUCGGCCUGCGCGGAAGAUGUAACGGGGCUAAACCAUGCACCGAAGCUGCGGCAGCGAACGUAUCACCCAAGACAACUUUACGGAGUUGACGAUUGACGGAGCGAAGCGACGUCAAAGCGUUCAUUAAAGUCGAGUUGGCUUAGGGAUACGUUCGUUGGGUAGGGGAGCGUUCUGUAAGCCUGUGAAGGUGUGUCGUGAGGCAUGCUGGAGGUAUCAGAAGUGCGAAUGCUGACAUAAGUAACGAUAAAGCGGGUGAAAAGCCCGCUCGCCGGAAGACCAAGGGUUCCUGUCCAACGUUAAUCGGGGCAGGGUGAGUCGACCCCUAAGGCGAGGCCGAAAGGCGUAGUCGAUGGGAAACGGGUUAAUAUUCCCGUACUUGGUGUUACUGCGAAGGGGGGACGGAGAAGGCUAUGUUGGCCGGGCGACGGUUGUCCCGGUUUAAGCGUGUAGGUGUGUGUUCCAGGUAAAUCCGGUUCACUUUAACACUGAGGCGUGACGACGAGGCACUACGGUGCUGAAGCAACAAAUGCCCUGCUUCCAGGAAAAGCCUCUAAGCAUCAGGUAACACGAAAUCGUACCCCAAACCGACACAGGUGGUCAGGUAGAGAAUACCAAGGCGCUUGAGAGAACUCGGGUGAAGGAACUAGGCAAAAUGGUGCCGUAACUUCGGGAGAAGGCACGCUGACAC
RNAcentral lists this ribosomal RNA (1278 nucleotides) under Salmonella enterica subsp. enterica. RNAcentral's name for it is "partial 23S ribosomal RNA". It matches the Rfam family "Bacterial large subunit ribosomal RNA", at positions 565 to 1757 of the family's 2925-position model. Lineage: Bacteria; Pseudomonadati; Pseudomonadota; Gammaproteobacteria; Enterobacterales; Enterobacteriaceae. The record is from RNAcentral.